This is an unclassified non-coding RNA of Pongo abelii (Sumatran orangutan), 117 nucleotides long. It matches the Rfam family "Metazoan signal recognition particle RNA". From Rfam's summary of the family: The signal recognition particle (SRP) is a universally conserved ribonucleoprotein. It is involved in the co-translational targeting of proteins to membranes. NCBI's taxonomy places the organism in Eukaryota, Metazoa, Chordata, Mammalia, Primates, Hominidae. The record is from Ensembl.
GCUGGGCACGGUGGCUCAUGCCUGUAAUCCCAGCACUUUGGGAGGCUGAGGUGGGUGGAUCACCUGAGGUCAGGAGUUUGAGACCAGCCUGGCCAACAUGGUGAAACCCCAUCUCUA